CCUACGGGUGGCUGCAGUGGGGAAUAUUGGACAAUGGGCGAAAGCCUGAUCCAGCCAUGCCGCGUGUGUGAAGAAGGCCUUCGGGUUGUAAAGCACUUUCAGUGGGGAAGAAAGCCUUGGGGCUAAUACCCUCGAGGAAGGACAUCACCCACAGAAGAAGCACCGGCUAACUCCGUGCCAGCAGCCGCGGUAAUACGGAGGGUGCGAGCGUUAAUCGGAAUUACUGGGCGUAAAGCGCGCGUAGGCGGUCUGAUAAGCCGGUUGUGAAAGCCCCGGGCUCAACCUGGGAACGGCAUCCGGAACUGUCAGGCUAGAGUGCAGGAGAGGAAGGUAGAAUUCGCGGUGUAGCGGUGAAAUGCGUAGAGAUCGGGAGGAAUACCAGUGGCGAAGGCGGCCUUCUGGACUGACACUGACGCUGAGGUGCGAAAGCGUGGGUAGCAAACAGGAUUAGAUACCCUAGUAGUC
This 465-nucleotide ribosomal RNA is filed under the name Vreelandella stevensii. RNAcentral's name for it is "partial 16S ribosomal RNA". It matches the Rfam family "Bacterial small subunit ribosomal RNA", at positions 338 to 795 of the family's 1533-position model. Lineage: Bacteria; Pseudomonadati; Pseudomonadota; Gammaproteobacteria; Oceanospirillales; Halomonadaceae. The record is from RNAcentral.